This 477-nucleotide ribosomal RNA is filed under the name uncultured bacterium. Its description in RNAcentral is "partial 16S ribosomal RNA". It matches the Rfam family "Bacterial small subunit ribosomal RNA", at positions 30 to 507 of the family's 1533-position model. The record is from RNAcentral.
AUUGAACGCUGGCGGCAUGCCUUACACAUGCAAGUCGAACGGUAACAGGUUAAGCUGACGAGUGGCGAACGGGUGAGUAAUGUAUCGGAACGUGCCCAGUCGUGGGGGAUAACUGCUCGAAAGAGCAGCUAAUACCGCAUACGACCUGAGGGUGAAAGCGGGGGAUCGCAAGACCUCGCGCGAUUGGAGCGGCCGAUAUCAGAUUAGGUAGUUGGUGAGGUAAAGGCUCACCAAGCCGACGAUCUGUAGCGGGUCUGAGAGGACGACCAGCCACACUGGGACUGAGACACGGCCCAGACUCCUACGGGAGGCAGCAGUGGGGAAUUUUGGACAAUGGGCGCAAGCCUGAUCCAGCCAUGCCGCGUGCGGGAAGAAGGCCUUCGGGUUGUAAACCGCUUUUGUCAGGGAAGAAAAGGUUCUGGCUAAUACCUGGGACUCAUGACGGUGCCUGAAGAAUAAGCACCGGCUAACUACGUG